RNAcentral lists this ribosomal RNA (223 nucleotides) under Micrococcus luteus. RNAcentral's name for it is "partial 16S ribosomal RNA". It matches the Rfam family "Bacterial small subunit ribosomal RNA", at positions 40 to 258 of the family's 1533-position model. The record is from RNAcentral. Lineage: Bacteria; Bacillati; Actinomycetota; Actinomycetes; Micrococcales; Micrococcaceae.
UCUUAACGGCGGUCCUUACCAUGCAAGUCGAACGAUGAAGCCCAGCUUGCUGGGUGGAUUAGUGGCGAACGGGUGAGUAACACGUGAGUAACCUGCCCUUAACUCUGGGAUAAGCCUGGGAAACUGGGUCUAAUACCGGAUAGGAGCGCCUACCGCAUGGUGGGUGUUGGAAAGAUUUAUCGGUUUUGGAUGGACUCGCGGCCUAUCAGCUUGUUGGUGAGGG